UACGUAGGGUGCGAGCGUUAAUCGGAAUUACUGGGCGUAAAGCGUGCGCAGGCGGUUUUGUAAGUCAGAUGUGAAAGCCCCGGGCUUAACCUGGGAAUGGCAUUUGGGACUGCAAGGCUUGAGUGCGGCAGAGGAGACUGGAAUUCCUAGUGUAGCAGUGAAAUGCGUAGAUAUCAGGAGGAAUACCGAUGGCGAAGGCAGGUCUCUGGGCUGACACUGACGCUCAUGCACGAAAGCGUGGGGAGCAAACAGG
RNAcentral lists this ribosomal RNA (253 nucleotides) under uncultured bacterium. Its description in RNAcentral is "partial 16S ribosomal RNA". It matches the Rfam family "Bacterial small subunit ribosomal RNA", at positions 524 to 776 of the family's 1533-position model. The record is from RNAcentral.